Oryzias melastigma (Indian medaka) is the source of this 485-nucleotide long non-coding RNA. RefSeq lists it as uncharacterized. The record is from RefSeq and is a predicted model, not a curated record. The transcript has 2 exons. NCBI's taxonomy places the organism in Eukaryota, Metazoa, Chordata, Actinopteri, Beloniformes, Adrianichthyidae.
GUGACAGACCUGUUAGAUAAUGCUAAUGGAUGAUGGUAAAUACAGGUUUUUAAUUCCAUCAAAAAGACUGAGCUAUAAGGAAAUGGAGACAGAACUGAGCAUUUCUCAGAGUCCUCGGUGAUCAUGAGGGAGCCGGUUGUGCCCUGGAAAGAAUUCUUGGAAGAGACUGCUGAGAAGACAACUUGCCAAAUUGCCAGUUUCACAGUACAGAAUCCAAGACUGGAGGGCUCUCUUUGAGACGAUGGAGUGGACUGUUGGGGGUUUGUUGGUCACUUAUACUGCAAAGCUCUGAUAGGGUUUUGUGUGAGUGAAGCUGCUGAGUGAGGAACAUGCUCACUGCAACCAAAGCUGGAGGAUGUUGGGUAAAGGUGGCAAGGAUUGUUGGCUAGAAUUCAAUCCAGGACCUGAUCAACCACUGAUGGAUCACUUGAACCAUUGAACCCAAAAGAAGAAAUAAUAAUAAUAAAAAACAUAAUGGAAAAAUA